This 428-nucleotide ribosomal RNA is filed under the name uncultured bacterium. RNAcentral describes it as "bacterial SSU rRNA". It matches the Rfam family "Bacterial small subunit ribosomal RNA", at positions 29 to 502 of the family's 1533-position model. The record is from RNAcentral.
ACGUACGCUGGCGGCACGCCUAACACAUGCAAGUCGAACGAAGUAGCAAUACUUAGUGGCAGACGGGUGAGUAACAUGUGGGUAUCUACCCUUUGGCCUGGAAUAACACGAGGAAACUUGUGCUAAUACCGGAUAAGUCUUUACGGAGAAAGCUUUAUGCACCAUUGGAUGAGCCCGCACUUGAUUAGUUUGUUGGUAGGGUAAUGGCCUACCAAGACUGUGAUCAAUAGCUGAUUUGAGAGGAUGAUCAGCCACAUUGGGACUGAGACACGGCCCAAACUCCUACGGGAGGCAGCAGUGGGGAAUCUUGCACAAUGGAGGAAACUCUGAUGCAGCGAUGCCGCGUGAGUGAAGAAGGCCCUUGGGUUGUAAAGCUCUUUCGUCGGGGAAGAAAAUGACUGUACCCGAAUAAGAAGGUCCGGCUAACU